AACAAAUUCCUUCCUGGGAGACAAAAGUUUUACACAGUAGGUCUGGCGGCUGUGUGUUGGGCGAUUUGGUUGGCGCGCAACCGAGCUACCUUUGAAAAAAAGCAAAUCAAGACUCCUUUUGAGAUUGUGUUUUCUCUGUGUUCCUUUCUACUUUACUGGACAGGGCUUCAGCAAGGGGAGGACGCCAAAGAUCUUCGCUGCGGAGCCGAGAUGAUCAGGACUGGCACGAUGAAGCUGAUGAAGGUGUGUGGCGCCAUCAAGCAACCAAUCCAGGGUGCUUGA
This 282-nucleotide ribosomal RNA is filed under the name Triticum aestivum (bread wheat). Its description in RNAcentral is "partial small subunit ribosomal RNA". Lineage: Eukaryota; Viridiplantae; Streptophyta; Magnoliopsida; Poales; Poaceae. The record is from RNAcentral.